UGACUGGGGGGGAGUCGUAACAAGGGAACCGAUAAAGAAUUCCAGGUGUAGCGGUGAAAUGCGUAGAGAUCUGGAGGAAUACCGGUGGCGAAGGCGGCCCCCUGGACGAAGACUGACGCUCAGGUGCGAAAGCGUGGGGAGCAAACAGGAUUAGAUACCCUGGUAGUCCACGCCGUAAACGAUGUCGACUUGGAGGCUGUUCCCCUGAGGAGUGGCUUCCGGAGCUAACGCGUUAAGUCGACCGCCUGGGGAGUACGGCCGCAAGGUUAAAACUCAAAUGAAUUGACGGGGGCCCGCACAAGCGGUGGAGCAUGUGGUUUAAUUCGAUGCAACGCGAAGAACCUUACCUGGCCUUGACAUCCAGAGAACUUAGCAGAGAUGCUUUGGUGCCUUCGGGAACUCUGAGACAGGUGCUGCAUGGCUGUCGUCAGCUCGUGUUGUGAAAUGUUGGGUUAAGUCCCGCAACGAGCGCAACCCUUAUCCUUUGUUGCCAGCGGGUAAUGCCGGGAACUCAAAGGAGACUGCCGGUGAUAAACCGGAGGAAGGUGGGGAUGACGUCAAGUCAUCAUGGCCCCUUACGGCCAGGGCUACACACGUGCUACAAUGGCGCAUACAAAGAGAAGCGACCUCGCGAGAGCAAGCGGGACCUCAUA
RNAcentral lists this ribosomal RNA (653 nucleotides) under Pantoea sp. RNAcentral describes it as "bacterial SSU rRNA". It matches the Rfam family "Bacterial small subunit ribosomal RNA", at positions 633 to 1278 of the family's 1533-position model. Lineage: Bacteria; Pseudomonadati; Pseudomonadota; Gammaproteobacteria; Enterobacterales; Erwiniaceae. The record is from RNAcentral.